Molecule: long non-coding RNA, 1469 nt
Filed under: Androctonus crassicauda
Lineage: Eukaryota; Metazoa; Arthropoda; Arachnida; Scorpiones; Buthidae
Source: RNAcentral
GUCAGCCAGGUGGUGGAGGACGGGGAUCGACGGGCCUGGCCCGGACCUCAUGAUAAAUAUUUUCAAGGGGUGGGACCCGGGACUCGGGCCCGGGUCCUCCAGAGUGGAAAGCCGAAGCGUUUCCACGCGGCCAAUCCGGCCAACCGCCCUCUAACCUUUGCACAUCCUACCAAACAUUUACAGUUUUUGAAUAAAACGAAGAACUAGCUAUUUAACAAAAAUUUAUCCUAAACCUAAGUAUUCUCCUAAGAAAGGGAAAUAAAGCCCGACUCGAAAAUAAUCCAUUUUAAUUGGCAGAAAAUAUGGCCAAACAUAAACUAAUGCGCGAAUAAAAAGUAUCGUUUAAAAAUGGAUUUUCACCUAACCAGGUUACCAACAGCUAUUUGGUAGAUUCUACCUUUAAACAAAAUUGUAUAAAAGCGUCCGUAUUCCUUGUAGGUUCGGGGCCCAGUAACCACGGGCCUGGGCCCGGGUUCUUUACCUCGGCCCGGGCCGUGAUCUGGAAGACGAAACUGUCGGCCCGCCCAAGGCGAAAAUGGCGACGAGAUGUCCAAAUGUACCAUUUCCGUUUUCGACUAUCUGUGUCCACCGUGGAAAAAUCGGGAUUUACCGUACCGUUAAAACUCUGCCCAAUUCUGCAAGAAGAAAAAGUCUUUUCCUUAGGUCGGCUGAAGAAGCGGCUGGAGCCAAUAUCCAACCUAGACGCACCGCCAGACCGAAUUUUCCCAUAGGUCCGAGUCGACCGUAACCGGCCGGCCGCCCGAUAGGGAGUAGCCAGCUAAACGGGGGAGUAAUCGACUAGCGGUCGGCCACACGGUCUAUGGACGAAAAACGAGCCGACCUCACCCUUCGACUAAUUAAAAUCGGCCGAUAAAAGUCGAUUUUUAAUGGAAUAGACAAAAAUUGACCCUACCACCACCACCCGUGGGUUUAGCUAAAAGUAUAUAGGUUUUCCCACCCCAUCUAGCCGAGUAGUGGAGAAAAGAUUACCGGUACCACCUCCCCUUUAAUUAAUUAAAAUUAAACUUACAAAUAGGGUAUGAUACACUAUCGCGUAAAAUAUUGGAAAGGGUGCCUAUGGACCACUAGACCCGAUGGCAAUAAAUAUAAAAUAGGUAACUAAAUAAAACUUUUCGGCCAUCUCUUAGCGCUAUAUCCCUCUACCGUCGGUCCGUUCCCAUCCUCUUUAAAUUGGCCCACUAAUUUUCUGACGGAAGCCAGCCCUCGGUAAGUAGGUGGCCUAAACUGUCGACCGUUGAGCCGCCUGGAAAGGAUCGCGCUUUCCACUCUGGAGGACCCGAGUCGGAGUCUCGGGUCCCAUUCCUGGAAAAUAUGUACGGUAGGGUCCGUCCAUUCCCCUCUUCCACCCUCCGGCCGACCCCUUGGCCGGGGUAGCGACCGAUGGAAGGGCUGGUUUGGCCCCGUCACGUAGUAUUCUUAGAGAAUGGAAUGUGGCGUCAUCUGUCGAC